GGCCUUGUAACUCAGUUGGUUAGAGUAACUGACUCAUAAUCAGUAGCCCGAAGCCA
This 56-nucleotide transfer RNA is filed under the name Chryseobacterium koreense CCUG 49689. It matches the Rfam family "tRNA". Rfam says of the family: Transfer RNA (tRNA) molecules are approximately 80 nucleotides in length. Their secondary structure includes four short double-helical elements and three loops (D, anti-codon, and T loops). Further hydrogen bonds mediate the characteristic L-shaped molecular structure. tRNAs have two regions of fundamental functional importance: the anti-codon, which is responsible for specific mRNA codon recognition, and the 3' end, to which the tRNAs corresponding amino acid is attached (by aminoacyl-tRNA synthetases). tRNAs cope with the degeneracy of the genetic code in two manners: having more than one tRNA (with a specific anti-codon) for a particular amino acid; and 'wobble' base-pairing, i.e. permitting non-standard base-pairing at the 3rd anti-codon position. Lineage: Bacteria; Pseudomonadati; Bacteroidota; Flavobacteriia; Flavobacteriales; Weeksellaceae. The record is from Rfam by way of RNAcentral.